AUUGAACGCUGGCGGCAUGCCUUACACAUGCAAGUCGAACGGCAGCACGGGGGCAACCCUGGUGGCGAGUGGCGAACGGGUGAGUAACAUAUCGGAACAUACCCUAGAGUGGGGGAUAACGUAGCGAAAGUUACGCUAAUACCGCAUACGAUCUAAGGAUGCAAGUGGGGGAUCUUCGGACCUCAUGCUCAUGGAGUGGCCGAUAUCUGAUUAGCUAGUUGGUGAGGUAAAGGCUCACCAAGGCGACGAUCAGUAGCUGGUUUGAGAGAACGACCAGCCACACUGGAACUGAGACACGGUCCAGACUCCUACGGAGGCAGCAGUGGGGAAUUUUGGACAAUGGGGGCAACCCUGAUCCAGCAAUGCCGCGUGAGUGAAGAAGGCCUUCGGGUUGGUC
This 397-nucleotide ribosomal RNA is filed under the name uncultured bacterium. RNAcentral's name for it is "bacterial SSU rRNA". It matches the Rfam family "Bacterial small subunit ribosomal RNA", at positions 30 to 428 of the family's 1533-position model. The record is from RNAcentral.